This 955-nucleotide ribosomal RNA is filed under the name bacterium 10BG4. RNAcentral describes it as "bacterial SSU rRNA". It matches the Rfam family "Bacterial small subunit ribosomal RNA", at positions 379 to 1344 of the family's 1533-position model. The record is from RNAcentral.
AAGCCUGAUGCAGCGACGCCGCGUGAGGGAUGACGGCCUUCGGGUUGUAAACCUCUUUCAGUAGGGAAGAAGCGAAAGUGACGGUACCUGCAGAAGAAGCACCGGCUAACUACGUGCCAGCAGCCGCGGUAAUACGUAGGGUGCGAGCGUUAUCCGGAAUUAUUGGGCGUAAAGAGCUCGUAGGCGGUUUGUCGCGUCUGUCGUGAAAGUCCGGGGCUUAACCCCGGAUCUGCGGUGGGUACGGGCAGACUAGAGUGCAGUAGGGGAGACUGGAAUUCCUGGUGUAGCGGUGGAAUGCGCAGAUAUCAGGAGGAACACCGAUGGCGAAGGCAGGUCUCUGGGCUGUAACUGACGCUGAGGAGCGAAAGCAUGGGGAGCGAACAGGAUUAGAUACCCUGGUAGUCCAUGCCGUAAACGUUGGGCACUAGGUGUGGGGACCAUUCCACGGUUUCCGCGCCGCAGCUAACGCAUUAAGUGCCCCGCCUGGGGAGUACGGCCGCAAGGCUAAAACUCAAAGGAAUUGACGGGGGCCCGCACAAGCGGCGGAGCAUGCGGAUUAAUUCGAUGCAACGCGAAGAACCUUACCAAGGCUUGACAUGUUCUCGAUCGCCGUAGAGAUACGGUUUCCCCUUUGGGGCGGGUUCACAGGUGGUGCAUGGUUGUCGUCAGCUCGUGUCGUGAGAUGUUGGGUUAAGUCCCGCAACGAGCGCAACCCUCGUUCCAUGUUGCCAGCACGUCGUGGUGGGGACUCAUGGGAGACUGCCGGGGUCAACUCGGAGGAAGGUGAGGACGACGUCAAAUCAUCAUGCCCCUUAUGUCUUGGGCUUCACGCAUGCUACAAUGGCCGGUACAAUGGGUUGCGAUACUGUGAGGUGGAGCUAAUCCCAAAAAGCCGGUCUCAGUUCGGAUUGGGGUCUGCAACUCGACCCCAUGAAGUCGGAGUCGCUAGUAAUCG